This 358-nucleotide unclassified non-coding RNA is filed under the name uncultured fungus. RNAcentral describes it as "partial contains small subunit ribosomal RNA, internal transcribed spacer 1, and 5.8S ribosomal RNA". The stretch from base 1 to 73 matches the Rfam family "Eukaryotic small subunit ribosomal RNA", at positions 1759 to 1831 of the family's 1831-position model. The record is from RNAcentral. Lineage: Eukaryota; Fungi.
UCAAACUUGGUCAUUUAGAGGAAGUAAAAGUCGUAACAAGGUUUCCGUAGGUGAACCUGCGGAAGGAUCAUUAAUGAAUUUCGUAUCUGUGUGUGGUUGUUUGUGUUUUUAUUUAACUCAUUCGAUCAUUACUCAGGUAUACUCUCUCCUUCACACGUGCUCCGGUAGUGUUGUGUUUCCUUUGAAUAUUCUCUGAGUAUUCUUUGAAUUCCGACUCGACCGAUUGUUUUCUGCGUUUUUACUAUAUAUAUCUGAAUCUUUUUAGCGUUGGAAAGCCUUUCGGGGUUGACUGAUGCGCCAAACUGAAAAAACUAUGAACAACGGAUCUCUAGGCUCUUGCAUCGAUGAAGAACGCAGC